This is a non-coding RNA of Oryctolagus cuniculus (rabbit), 7151 nucleotides long. The record is from RefSeq and is a predicted model, not a curated record. NCBI's taxonomy places the organism in Eukaryota, Metazoa, Chordata, Mammalia, Lagomorpha, Leporidae.
GUCCAAUCAGGGGCCCUGGUGAGGGUGGCGGACCACUUCCUCAUCUCAGGAGAUCCCUGUGUCCUAGUGGCCUCCAGCCUACAGUGGGCAGAGCGUCCCAGCGGUGGCUGGGCCUUCUCCACUCUGAGAAAGGGAAGCCGGAGACCUCGUGAGCGGGAAGUGGUGAUUGUGUGGGGUUAGGUUUCCCAGAAGGUGGCCGUGGGCGGAUGGAUACUGCCAGAACCAGCUACAGAGGGACCUGGACUUCCCCCGCGGUGAGCUCUUCCAUCCGCAGACCCCACCGCUGAGGGCUGGGCCAGCUCCGGACAUGGGCGACAGGCCCCGUGCCUGCACCAGCGACCUCGGCUCGCUCCAGAGCCUCCUCUCCGUCUCCAUGCGCGAGGUCCAGAAACUGCUCAGGUGUGGGUGUAGGUGGUUGAGCAACAGGCAGUCCUGCCUUCUUGAUUCCCCAUAAAGAUACAGCUCUCCACAGAGAGACAGGAUGGGACACUUCAUAGAACUCUGAGAUCCGAGACAAGCUCCUGUGCUCCCCGUAUUCAUGGGUGGAUAGAAGCUCCGGCUUCUUAAAUUGUGCUUCAACUUUGCGUUACUUUUAUUUUUCCUUUAUUAAAAAUCCUACUUUGAUGAAAGUGCUUUUGGAGCCAAUGACUCUUCACAGCCCCUAGAUGAGAGCUGGCCGAGGCAGCCUCCUUGGAAAGAAGAAAAGCAUCCAGGCUUCAGGCUGACAGCUGCACUUAACAGGUCCAAUUCUGACUCUGCUCCUCACAGGAGUGUUCUGAGCACCAAGCCCCGGGACCCCUACGGAAGAGGGGCCCAGUCGGCCUGCCCUGGCCCCGUGCGUGGGACCUGAACACACUGAGGAGUAAGGACUGAGGGAGCUAUUGAGCAGCUUUGUUUCCAGAGAGGAGGAAGUGUCUUCUCUCUGUGGGUCCUGAGGCCUGACAGAACUCUCCCAGGGGCCAGCAGUCCUGGCACCAGUGUCCCCUGGUCCCUGGGAGGGGCUCUCAGCCAAGCAUAGGGAGCAGGGAGGAGCCGGGUCAGAGCCAGCAGCACCUGCCCAGCUUGGUCUCAUGCUGCCAGUCAGAUCACCAGUAACAGGGUGGAGAGGCUUCCAGUGGGCCCACAUCUGGUCACCUUAUGCCCCUGCUUAAAGCCCUCAGUGCUACCGCCUCACCUUAAGGAGAAGGGCCCAGGAUGCGCCCGAGCUGACGGUCAAGACCAAGGACGGCGUGGUGGAGAUCACGGGCAAACACGAAGAGCGACAGGAUGAGCACGACUACCUCGCCCGCUGUUUCACCCGGAAGUACACGCUGCCCCCUGGCGUGGACCCCACGCUGGUCUCCUCCUCCCUGUCCCCUGAGGGUACGCUCACCGUGGAAGCGUCGCUGCCCAAGCCGGCCACGCAGUCGGUGGAGAUCACCAUCCCAGUCACCCAGAUCGGCGGCCCGGAAGCAGGAAAGUCUGAGCAGCCUGCGGCCAAGUAGAGCAGCCUCGUGCACCGCCCAGCCCCCAGCUCCCACCUGCGUGUCCUUUUGAUACCCCGAGAGACAGGGCAGCCUGUGGUCCCUGGGCGCACGUGCUCUGCUGCACUUCCGGCUACAACUGUGGGUCCUGCUGCUGCUGGGCCUCCUGCAAGCCGACUUCAACCUCAGGAAGGAGCUGCUCCUCUACCGCACCCACGUGACCCUGCCACUAGUCAGGGUGCUGGGCUGGCGCUUCACGGUCUUUGCGGGUGCUUCGCUGACAGGACCCAUCUUCUCCGGAUGGGGCGGGGCAGCCCAAGGCCGUCUCCUUUCCCCUCCCUUCCACUGGCCAGGGCCGAAGCCCACAGCAGCAGUGCUGCCCAGGUCCUGCACGGGAGAGAAAGGCCUGAGAUUCUCCUGGAACAGAGACACUGUCCCCUGCUGGCUGUCUGCCGUCACCCUGCCUGUGUGCCUGUUCUGGUGCAGUGACCCCUGCCUGUGGUUGCUACUCACCCUGUUUCAGGCGCCCUGUGCUGUGCAUGCCUUGGUCCAGUCAGAACUUCCAGAACCUCUGUGAGACCUCCCCCUCCACAGUCCACACCUGGAGACUUGGCGGUGGAGGCGGGUGUGGCCCAGGAGCCUCAGGGACACACCACACUGCCACACAGUUCACCCCACCCUGUCUGCCUGAGCCUUCCUUUAGCUUCCAGACCUCCUCUGUCAACUUGAGACCCACUUGGGUCCCAAGUCCCAGCCAGGCUCCAGGGUCACCUCGGUUUGCUUAGAUAUGGUCCAGCUUGCAGCCACAGAUGCCUGCAGCAGAGGCCAGCCUGCUGGAGCAUGGAAGCCCAGCGCACCUGCUGCAGGGCAGUCUGGGAGGACUGAAUAGGUGCUCAAAGUCCUCCGUGCGGGUUUUGGGGAGGCAACUCGAUUCCUCUGUGGCUUGGUGGGGGUGUGAGUGGCUUUAGUCUUUGGUGUACACCCAGAGUUGACUCUUUCAUGUAUUGCACAUUUUAAACAGCAAAAAUCCCAGAAGUGCCCCCUGGAGGACAUGAACAGACCAUUUAGAACAUCAGUGCAUGCCAAGGUUGGGUCUCUGCAAGCCACAGGCUCCCUGCUCCUCUGUCCUGCCCCAGUCACUAUUAAACCAUUUAGGGAGUAAGAAGCAAAAUUACAGGGCAGAGACAUGGGCACGGAGGAUACUCACAGGGAAGGGAAUCCCAGACUCUUAGCUCCUGCCUCUCUGCCAUGCAGAUAUGGUGGUCACUGUGGUGCUGUGACAGCUGGUUAGAGACAGGGUGGCCAUGUGGGCCUUGGUGGGAAGUGAGACGACCACUAUGCCCAGGCAUCCUGCAGAGAUACAGGGCCUGAUUUUGAGGGUGGCAAGUAGGUCAACACUGCUUCACCUCACAUUGUCAUCCCCACCCAAGGGCAGGGAAGAGCACUUGGCCCCUGUGAAACUGCCCUGCCAGGUAGAUCAGAGGCCUGUGGAGCUGCGAGCAUGCCACAAGGAGACACAACAGAGACAAACUGGACAGAGAAAGUAGCACCUGCCAUGCUGUGUGCUGAGCUCUUUGAUUCAUUGGUGGCUUCCGUGCCUUAACUCCCCAUGGGACUGGCUGCCAGGCUUGGUAGAGGAAGUCUGUCUGAGAACCCCGUGGCCAGGCAAGGGCUUCCUUGACUGACCCUACUUGCUGCACAGAAUUUUUGCACUAAAUUACACUGUUUCCUUAAAGCUUUAGUUUACAUUAAUUGCUUUACUGUACUCAGAACCACCAGAACCUCCUUGCUGGGGUGAAGGUGGAGAAGCAGGGUGGCGGGAAGGGUCUGGCUGUGCAGCCUGGAAUGUGACCAUGGAAUUGUGAGUGACUGUAACUGGUGGUUCCUUGUUACACGGCAACACAGCUGCUCAGUCUCAAGUGCCUGUUAAAUUGUGAGGUGUCACAGAGUCAAAAGCAUUAUGGAAGAACAAAGUAUGUAUCUGUCUAGAGUUGAUACUGGUAUAGUAUAUUUUCAUUUUUUGAUGUAGUCUAAUUUAUAUUUUUAUUUAUUACUUUUUAAAGAUUUAUUUAUUUGAAAGUCAGAGUUACACAGAGGGAGAAGGAGAGGCAGAGAGAGAGAGAGAGAGAGAGAGAGAGAGAGGUCUUCUAUCCGCUGGUUCACUCCCCAACUGGCCACAACAGCCAGAGCUGCUUCCUCCAGGUCUUCCCACAUGGGUGCAGAGACUCAAACUCUCGGGCCAUCUUCUCCUGUUUUCCCAGGCCAUAGCAGAGAGAGCUGGAUCCAGAGAGCUGGAUCAGAAGUGGAGUAGUCCGGACUAGAACCGGUGCCCAUAUGGGAUGCUGGCACCUAAGGUGGCAGCUUUACCAGCUAUGCCACAGGGCCAGCUCCUAGUCAAAUUUAUAUUAAUCUUUCCUUGAGUCCAGUACAUCCAUAUAGCUUCACCUAAUUUUGUCUUAUUUUAAAUAGCUAAACAUGAUUUUUAUCUUUUUCUUUGAGGCAGCCUUUGGAAAGACAUCCAUAUUAAUCUAAACAGGACUCUAGUUUUAGUGAUUUUGAUAUUUUGAUACUCCUGGAUUCCACAUUGCUUCUCUCUCCUACUGAAUCUUCAUCAAGAAAGACCCAGCAGGUCCCGGUACUGUGGAUCAGUGGGUUAGGCUGUGGCCUGAGGUGCUGGCAUCUCUUAUGGGUGCUGGUUCAUGUCCCAGCUGCUCCAUUUCUGAUCCUGCUCCCUGCCAAUGCAUCUGUGAAAGGUGCUGAGGAUGGCCCAAGUGCUUGGAUCCCUGCACCCACGUGCAAGACUGGAAAGAAACUCCCAGCUUCUGGCUUUGGCCAGUCUGGGCCUCAGGCAUUGCGGCAGUUCAGGGAGUGAACUAGCAGAUGGAAGACAUCUCUCUCUCUCUCUCUCUCUCUCCCUCUCUAACUCUGUCUUUCAAAUAAAUCUUUAAAAAUAUAAAUAAAGUCCCAGCAUUUGCUGAGUUCUGAAUUUCUAGUCACUUCUUUAUGCUCCCCAUUCCCCUAUUUUUGAAAUAGAAUUUCUUUUUUUUUUCUUUUUGACAGGCAGAGUGGACAGUGAGAGAUAGAGACAGAGAGAAAGGUCUUCUUUUGCUGUUGGUUUACCCUCCAAUGGCCGCUGCGGCCGGCGCGCUGAGGCCGGCACACCGCGCUGAUCUGAUGGCAGGAGCCAGGUGCUUCUCCUGGUCUCCCAUGGGGUGCAGGGCCCAAGCACUUGGACCAUCCUCCACUGCACUCCUGGGCCACAGCAGAGAGCUGGCCUGGAAGAGGGGCAACCGGGACAGAAUCCGGCGCCCCAACCGGGACUAGAACCCUGUGUGCCAGCGCUGCAAGGCAGAGGAUUAGCCUAGUGAGCCGCGGCGCUGGCCUGAAAUAGAAUUUCUUUAAGAGUUUGCCAAGCAUUUGCUGCCACUUGCUGCCAGUUUAUGUGGGUGUGGUGGGAGCAGUAAAUUUGAUGUUGGUUUCACAGAUAUAAAGAUGGAGAGGGAUGAAGACAAGGAACUAUACCCCUAUCAGUUCAUCAGAGAAACCUCAUUCAACCUAUACCCCCACCCCACCCCAGGGGCUCAUGUCUCUGCCAUUUUCAGAAUUAACUGCGUCUCUCAAAAUGUCCCCAUGCAAUUAUAGCAUCCACCCAAGGGCUCAGUCCUUUCAGUCCCUGUGGAUACUAUCAAAGGAAUUAGAUUGUAAAAUUAAAUGUUAAUUCCUCAUAACGUUUUUAAAAAUCUGUAAGUCUUCAGAGAGGCAUAUGUUUUACGAUGAAUAGAAGGGUUUGGUUUACUAUUAUUUACCCCAACCUGUCUAGAUUAGAGGAUAAAGUUAUUCUUUGCCUCUUAAUUUGAAAGAUGUAUAUUGAAAUGACUUGUUCUUUGUAUUAGUGUCUUAAUAUACAUGUUAUAUAUAUAUAUAUAUGCUUUUGCUGUCACAUGUAUACAUACAUUACACACACAUAUAUCUGGAGAUACUUCAAAAAAAUUAUGAGAAAAUAGAAUUAAAAGAAUUCUGGCACAGGCCUUGUGGCACAGCAAGCUGGACACUACUAGAGACACCUGUAUCCAAUACUGGAUUGCUGGCUGAAGUCCUGGCUACUCUUUCUUUCUUUUUUUAAAGAUUUAUUUAUUAUUUGAAAGGCAGAGCUAGAGAGAGGCAGAGGCAGAGAGAGAGAGAGAGGUCUUCCAUCUGUGGGGAGCAACUCGGACUAGACUAAGUUACUGGAAUUAAGACUUAUUCUAUGCAUCUGCUCUCCCACAAUAUGGCGCUGAGAAGGGAGAAACAGCUUCUGCUCAGCUGCCUCCAGUUCAAACAAUAAACUGUAGGACCUGCUCCUGAUUGGAGGAGAGCAGCGUACUCGGCGUGUGGGUAGCAGAGUUGGGAUUGGUGGAAGAGGACUAUAAAGGAGGAGAUAGACAACAUGCACGAGGAACAUCUAAAGGGAACAUCUAUCUGAAGGAACACCUGUGCAGCCCCCGAGAGAGCCGGCCGGCGGUGUGCCGCUCCCCUGUGGAAGUGGGGAAAGUGGCCAGGGGGAACCGCCCUUCCACAGAGGUGGAAGGGACAGUAGCCAACCCAGGAAGAACCAGCAGCAAACCCGGGAAGGGCCGAGCGGACAAAAGAACAGCGCAGGGUCCUGUGUCGUUCCUCCACGAAGAUGGGGAGCGACACCAUCCAAUGGUUCACUCCCCAGAUGGGCACAAUGGAUGGAGCUGCACCAAUCUGAAGCCAGGAGCCAGCAGCUUCCUCCAGGUCUUCUCACACCGGUGCAGGAGCCAAGGAAUUGGGCCAUCUUCCACUGCUUUCCCAGGCUACAGCAGAGAACUGGAUCAGAAAUAGAGCAGCCAGAUCUUGAACUGGUGCCCAUUUGGGAUGUCAGCAGUGCAGGCAGUGGCUUUACCUGCUAUGCCACAGCACUGGCCCCCUGGCUACUCUAUUUCUGAUCCAGCUCCUUGCUAAUGAAUCCUGGGAGACAGCAGAUGAUGCCAAAUACUUGUGCAUCUUUCACCCAUAUGGGAGACCAAGAUCAUCUUCCUGGCUCCUAGCCUUGGCUAGGACCAGCCCUGGCUGUAGCAGACAUUUAGGAAGUGAACCAGAGAAUAGAAGAUCUGGUUCCCCCUGUCUCUUCUCUUUCUCUCUCUCCUUUUCAAGUAGGUGAAAAUAAACACAACUUUUUAAAAAGAUAAGUUUAUGCAAAAUAAAGUUGAAAUUCAUUCAUAGUUUGUUCAUUAUAUGCAUUUCCAUUAACUUUGAAGUUGACUAUAGAUAUAGAUAUAGAAAAAUAUAGAUAUAGAUGAUAUAGAUUGUCACAUCUUUGGCAGGAGUGAUAGGUCCAAACAAGGCCAACCAAAAUCUUUCCCUAGAAGAAUGACACAGAAGCUGAGAAAUUAAGACUCCUUUCCACACUGUCUGCUGUGUGGGAAAGGCUUUCCACAGCAAGAGAGGCCAUUAAAGUUGUUGCUCUUAAAAAUACAAAUUAUAACAGAAUUGUGUGGGGCCAGCGCUGUGGCUUAGUAGGCUAAGCCUCUGCCUGUGGUGCCAACAUCCAAUAUGGGUGCCAGUUCUUGCCCUGCUGCUCCAUUUCUGAUCCAGCUCCUUGCUAAUGUAUUUGGGAAAGCAGCAGAGGAUGGCCCAAGUGCUUCAGCCCCUGCAUCUACAAAGAAGACCUGAAAGAAGCUCCUG